UCAUACAAUGGAGGUGCAAGGGCUGUCGCUGGCCUUUAAUAGGUCGUGCACGCCCGAGUGCUUUCACACAUCCACCCACACACCCCUUUGUGCAUCACGGCGUGGGGGUCCCUCGAAAGGGGGAGGCCCACGCUUUUCUUUCACACAAACUUCAAAGUAGUGUAGAAUGUAACUUUCUUUAUUUGCGGUGAUACGCAAUCAAUA
This 204-nucleotide unclassified non-coding RNA is filed under the name uncultured fungus. RNAcentral describes it as "sequence contains ITS1, 5.8S rRNA gene". The record is from RNAcentral. Lineage: Eukaryota; Fungi.